ACGCACCAGUUGGCCCAGGAAGACUCGCCGCCAUAACUGCGCUAGGAUCCGUCGGCUAUUUAAACCCCUGGUCCUUUCAUGGCUUCAUCCUGGCGCCUUUCUUUUGCCUGAGAGCCUUGCUUCCCUCGCACCAGUCCUUGCCUUCUUCAGCCCCCCAAUUCUUCUCUGAGGGUUUCUACACCAUGUCCUCUACCCCGGAGGCUGUUCUUGAGGGGAUUUCUAGGGCU
Molecule: long non-coding RNA, 227 nt
Filed under: Elaeis guineensis (African oil palm)
Lineage: Eukaryota; Viridiplantae; Streptophyta; Magnoliopsida; Arecales; Arecaceae
Description: long non-coding RNA (EGUI_LNC030674)
Source: RNAcentral